RNAcentral lists this long non-coding RNA (209 nucleotides) under Carica papaya (papaya). RNAcentral describes it as "long non-coding RNA (CPAP_LNC004752)". Lineage: Eukaryota; Viridiplantae; Streptophyta; Magnoliopsida; Brassicales; Caricaceae. The record is from RNAcentral.
ACUUGGCAGAAAUUUGAGCGGUAAAAAAAAGGCAUGGUUGUGGGCCCCAUGUGGCAUGGUUGCUCGACAUGACGGGCAGUCACGUUAACUAGCAGUAAGUUUGGUGCCAACUACAUAUAAUGUGUAUCUCACUACGCGCUGUGCACGCAUUGUUACAUCCAAAAUGCAAUUAAGGCAAAUAGGUGUUAGAUACAGAAACAGGAUAGGAG